GGGGGAAGAUGGGGAGGAGAAGGUUGUAAGCGAGAAUGAGGGAGGUGUGGGUUGGUAAGGGAAGGGAAAGGAGUGAGGGUAUAGUUUAGGAACCUACCAGUAUGUAUUCUGAGAUUGCUGGCAAUUAGUAGUUACAGAAAAGAAGGAGAAACAUUACUGAUUAAAUGACCGGUUCAAUUUUCUUUUAUUUAUAUUAAUUCAAGAAAUAAGCAACAAAAAUGGGGAGGCUCCAGAAGCCCGAAGAAAACUGUGAGUAUAAAUCUAAAAUGUAAUUAGGGAUGAGAAUAAAGUAGACGGCAGGCCAAAAAUGAUGCAGCUUAGUAUCUAUUUGAACUUUCCCAGUGUAAACUGAAAGAAGAAGGCUGACCUUGGUGACGAAGAUGAAAUCGGAGGUGGUCUUGCAAAUACAGCAGCGGCGAUCGUGGCAGAUGAAGCGCAGGCGAACAACGCAGGUCGAGCACACAUCCUUGUGUCCGCAUGCUCCGUAGGCCACCCAUUCCAGGCUCUCGGCGCACACUGCACAGCUGUCGUCCAUCCUUCUUAUAUCUCAAUAAUACACUACUAUUUGUUGCUCUUAAUCCUCUCUCUCUUCUUCUCUUCUCUUCCCUUCUCUUUUGCGCUCUUCCUCUUCUUC
RNAcentral lists this long non-coding RNA (634 nucleotides) under Coffea arabica (coffee). Its description in RNAcentral is "long non-coding RNA (CARA_LNC000409)". Lineage: Eukaryota; Viridiplantae; Streptophyta; Magnoliopsida; Gentianales; Rubiaceae. The record is from RNAcentral.